GCCGGGUGUGGUAGUGUGCACCUGUAAUCCCAGCUACUCAGGAGGCUGAGGCAGGAGAAUCACUUGAACCUGGGAGGCAGAGGUUGCAGUGAGCUGAGAUCACACCAUUGCCCUCCAGCCUGGGUGACAAAGUGAGAUUCUGUCUCAA
Molecule: small RNA, 148 nt
Filed under: Papio anubis (olive baboon)
Lineage: Eukaryota; Metazoa; Chordata; Mammalia; Primates; Cercopithecidae
Description: Metazoan signal recognition particle RNA (ENSPANG00000041426.1)
Source: Rfam by way of RNAcentral